This 1935-nucleotide long non-coding RNA is filed under the name Ananas comosus (pineapple). Its description in RNAcentral is "long non-coding RNA (ACOM_LNC002495)". Lineage: Eukaryota; Viridiplantae; Streptophyta; Magnoliopsida; Poales; Bromeliaceae. The record is from RNAcentral.
AUAAGAAAGAUAACAAAAUAGAUUGUAAAAUACUCGGCAAAAAACUGUUAAGGCUGCGUUUGGUUCAGAUAUAAAUAAGAACUGCUUGUUCCAGGGAUAGGUACAAGUUCAGGUAUAAGCAGGAACUAGACCAAUUUUGCGUUUGGAUAAAAAUUGAGUUGUUUCUAGGAAUAAGGUAAAUAGCGUUUCGAUGGUGAAAUUUGAACAAGCGGAAUAAAAGUUAUAAUUUGAAAUUAAAAUUAUAUUAUCUAAUUAAUUAACAUCAAAAUAUUACUUAAAAAUAAAUAAUAAAUAAAUUAUUAAUAAAUAAUUAUAAAUAAUAAUAAUAAUUAAUUAUUAAUUAUUAAUUAUUAAUUAUUAUCAUUAAUUAAUUAUUAUUAAUUAUUUAUAAUUAUUUAUAAGUAAUAAAUUAAUUAAUUAUUAAUAAAUUAUUAAUAAUUAUUACUUAAUUAAUUAAUUAUUAAUAACUAUUAAUAAUUAUUUAUAAGUAAUAAAUUAAUUAAAAAUAAUUAUCUAAUUAUUAAUAAUUAAUUAUAAAUCAUUAUUAAUAAAUAAUAAUAAUUAUUUAAUUAUUAAUUAUUAAUAAUAAAUUACUAAUAAUAUCGAUUAUCUAAUUAAUAAGAAUAAUUAUUUUAUUUUAUUAUUAAUUAAUAAUUAAAUAAUAAUAUUAAUAAUUAAUUAUAAGUAAUAAAUUAAUUAAUAAUAAUUAUCUAAUUAUUAAUAAUUAAUUAUAAAUAAUAAAUUAAUAAUAAUAUCGAUUAUCUAUUUCUUAAGAAUAAUAAUUAUUAAUAAUAAUUAUUUAAUUAAUAAUUAUUAAUAAAUAAUAAUUAUUAAAUUAAUAAUUAUUAUUAUCUAAUUAUAAAUAAUUAAUUAUAUAUAAUUAUUUGUUUAUUUAUUUUAUUAUUUAAGCAAUAGAUAAUAAUUCAAAUAUAUUAAUUAGAUUAAUUAAUAAUUUACUAUCAUUAAAAUUUAAAUUUAGAUUUAAUUAACCUUGUUCUCAUUCGAGAACAAGCUUGUUUCAGGAAAAAGAUGGAACAACAGUUUCAGCCAGUUCCAGUCUUAUACCAGCUAGUUCCAGAAACCCGGAAACUACUGUUCUUGUGUACCAAACGCUACGUUUGGGAACAAAAGGGGGAACAAGAGCUUAUUCUCCCCCUUGUUCCCGAACCAAACGCUAUCUUAGGAUUUGGCUAGAUUUGUAGAUGAAUUCUAGUUGGAUAAAAAAAUUAAUAUUUAAAUUUAGUGGAGAUUAUUAAGAUUUAAAUGUUAAUUAGAGUAUAAGUAUAAUUAGAUUAGGAUAAAUAUUUGAAUCUAUUGGAGAUAAAUCAAUUAAAAUUUUAAAUAUUUAUUAGAGUAAGAAUUGUAAAUAUAUUAGGAUUUUUGUAUAUUUUGGAUGGAGCUUUUUGUAUAGGGCCAUGAUGCGCAAAUUGUAAUGUGCCUAAGUGGUGCGCCGAUGAGAGAUAGCUUUUUAUGGUGAUGACCGUACCGUGGAAAAGUCUAGGCCCAGUUGUAUACACCUAGUGCACAAGCACAUAUGAGAGAGAAAAAGAGAAAGUUGUUUUCUUGUGGGUUUAUAAAAGACGAGAGAAUAAUAGCAGAGAUUCAAAAAAGAGAACUCGAGUUAUAGUAACUACCCUAUGCAGAAGGAAUAUUCUUUUCUUAUUUAAUGAAUCUUAUUUUAUCCGCAUAUUUUCUGUUUGGUUGUCUUUCUCUCUUUCAGCUGCUGCUAAGAAAACGAGUUUAUAGUAAAAAUCCAAUUCGACGCUUUCGUUGCAAAAUCCGAACCGAAUCAACAGCAGUCGGUAUCGGAACGGAUUGCGAAUUCUCAAAAUUCAAUACCAGGGCGAGUACCAGAUUCCCAACAAAAAUGCUCCAAAAAUAAUUUUAACACCUAAAACAGUUUACAAACCGUAUAAUAAAAUAGUUAAAUUUCAU